UUUAAUUUUGUUUGAACAGUAUUUCUACAGUUAAAAAUAUACUGUAUUUCUACAGUUAAAAAUAUACUGUAUUUUUACAUUUUAAAAUAUAUUGUAUUUCUACAGUUGAAAAUAUGCUGUAUUUCCAAAUCUAAUGUUUACAAACUUCUUGAACCUGUUGAAUUUAACAAUAUAUUCAUCAAAAUUUUAUCAUAUCCUUUAUAUGUCUUGUUAAUGAUAAAAAGUUCUGAGUAUAUGAUAGUAUAUCUUGAAUAAGAUAGAUGUAUAUGUUGGACCAAUAGUGUGAAUAAUAGUCAGAUUUUACCUCAAACAAGACAAUUCUCUUAAAAGGGAUGAUACUAUAUCCCCAUUACAUUCCAUAGGGCAUAUUGUUUUAAUGUCAAGAUAUAUAUAUUAUAAUAUUAAAGUUUGUUAUAAAAUUAUUUUUAUAUAUGAUUAUAAACUUUUAAAUAAUAAUACCAUAAAUUCUUCUUGACUUUGUUUCUUCAAAUAAUCAUGAAAAGCACUUUUUCCUAAGUUUUUGAAAGAAAUGACCAAACAAUAUAUAGACAGUAUAAGUAUAUCAAAUUUAAAUUUUAAAAAUUUCCAUGUUUUUGUUUUGUUUACAAAAAGGUAAUGCCAAUUAUUGUCAAACCAAUUCAUAACUGAAUAAUUAAAAUUUUGUCUAAAGAUUUUGUAGACUUAUAAUAUACCAGUAUUGUUAUAAAUACUGAGUGAAAUAGUUAUUUAACUUGGUACUGGUAAAAGACAAUCAAAAUACUUUGAUCAAAGGACUUUUUGUGCAAUUAUACAUGUUAAGCAGACUUUAUUUUAAUACAACGAAUAAAAUGCCAAAAAAGAAAAUUGACUAGUCAGAAUUAUGCCUUGUAUGAGGUGCCUUUUAUGUCAUAAGCCUUUUUGAAAAAUAAAUGCCAUUGCCACAAUUGUUUAAAUUAGUCAAACUAAUUUGUUGAGAGUAGCAUUUACUUCAAACUUUGUUAAAAUAAUGGUAGUUAUUUUAAUAAGAGGUUUAAAAUGACAUACAAAUGUUUUCUUCCUCUGGUAUUACCAUAGUAUGAAAACCGAUUUGAGAAAGAAAACAUUUCUGUUUAAAGGACUUUCAUGUUGUUAUGUACAGUUAAUAUAUUCAUAUGUUUUGGUUACUAAAUAUGUUAUUUUUGUAAUGAUUAAAGGUUUUGGUCAGUAUUUUUCAGCUAAGAUAUGACAAAAACUUUCAUUGAACUUUCAUUAUACUGAGAAUGAAUUUCAAUUAGAAUGAAAAACACAGUUCGAAAACACAUUUUGUUCCUUUUUUUUUUGGUAUUAUUUUUCAAAACAUGUAACUACUGUAUUUUAUAUCAAAUGCUUCAGUAAAUUUUAAAACCCCACAAAUCAUUGUGGGGGUUACCAUAAUUCUUUUUUUAACAUAAAAUAUUUAAUAACCAAAACAUUUCUGAUGGUGUCUUCACUGAAAGUUUUAGUCAUUGUAAUUUUGUUGUUGAAAAAGUAUCUUUACUUUCAAGAGUUAACUCAUUUUGAGCAUUAUUAAUAAAAGUAAACGAGAUCCAUCCUUCCUUUUUAUUGUCAACCUUACAACAUUUUUGUCAGCAAUGUUGUCAUCCGUUGCAUCAACAUUUAGGUUCAUCCUGUGGUUUUUAACAUCAAUAUUUUUAGCAAAUUUCUUUUUAUGUAAUUUGGAAAAAAGCAUUUUUUCAUAAUGAAUAAUAUUGACAACAGUAUAGAUGUAACAAACUGUUAUCAAGGAAAGAUUAGGUUUUUUAGACACAGACGAUAAACAUAUUUGUAUAUUCAUGAUUGCUUUGUAAAGUAUUUGGAGAAAAAAAAAACAUAAACUUCAUUUUGUACAAGUAUUCAACCUCAUUUUCAGUCAUAUAUGUAGCAUUUUUAGAACACAAAUUUUGUUUGUACUUAACAUUGUUUAGUCAUAUGCUCAAUGUUAAAACCUUUUUUUUUAAGUCAAAAUGACUUUAAAUAUGUUGAUAUCUAUGCAACUGGUUGCAUACAAUGAUAAAAUAAAAUUACAAAACCAAG
Molecule: long non-coding RNA, 2031 nt
Filed under: Mytilus galloprovincialis (Mediterranean mussel)
Lineage: Eukaryota; Metazoa; Mollusca; Bivalvia; Mytilida; Mytilidae
Source: RNAcentral